UGGGGAAUAUUGCACAAUGGGCGCAAGCCUGAUGCAGCCAUGCCGCGUGUGUGAAGAAGGCCUUCGGGUUGUAAAGCACUUUCAGCGGGGAGGAAGGCGUUAAGGUUAAUAACCUUGGCGAUUGACGUUACCCGCAGAAGAAGCACCGGCUAACUCCGUGCCAGCAGCCGCGGUAAUACGGAGGGUGCAAGCGUUAAUCGGAAUUACUGGGCGUAAAGCGCACGCAGGCGGUCUGUCAAGUCGGAUGUGAAAUCCCCGGGCUCAACCUGGGAACUGCCAUCGAAACUGGCAGGCUAGAGUCUUGUAGAGGGGGGUAGAAUUCCAGGUGUAGCGGUGAAAUGCGUAGAGAUCUGGAGGAAUACCGGUGGCGAAGGCGGCCCCCUGGACAAAGACUGACGCUCAGGUGCGAAAGCGUGGGGAGCAAACAGG
RNAcentral lists this ribosomal RNA (429 nucleotides) under Chloroflexota bacterium. RNAcentral's name for it is "Chloroflexi bacterium partial 16S ribosomal RNA". It matches the Rfam family "Bacterial small subunit ribosomal RNA", at positions 355 to 776 of the family's 1533-position model. Lineage: Bacteria; Bacillati; Chloroflexota. The record is from RNAcentral.